This 218-nucleotide unclassified non-coding RNA is filed under the name fungal sp. Its description in RNAcentral is "partial internal transcribed spacer region". The stretch from base 1 to 46 matches the Rfam family "Eukaryotic small subunit ribosomal RNA", at positions 1786 to 1831 of the family's 1831-position model. The record is from RNAcentral. Lineage: Eukaryota; Fungi.
AAGUCGUAACAAGGUUUUCGUAGGUGAACCUGCGGAAGGAUCAUUAAUGAAUCUCGGGAGUCCCUCCUAACCGGAGAAGGCCCGCAUCAUUAUUUCACACACUUGUGCAUUUGUCCCCCUUUUCAAUACCUUUAACCCUGUAUGCAUUUGAAACAGUCAUUGGUUAACAAACAUGAUAAAUGAAAGAAAAACUUUCAGCAAUGGAUCUCUUGGCUCUC